UUACGGUCAAAUCACGCUGAAAACACCGGUUCUCGUUCGAUCACCGAAGUUAAGCAUCGUAGAGCCAGGUCAGUAGUUAGAUGGGGGACCGCUUGGAACACCUGGUACUGUAAG
Molecule: ribosomal RNA, 114 nt
Filed under: Acanthosepion pharaonis
Lineage: Eukaryota; Metazoa; Mollusca; Cephalopoda; Sepiida; Sepiidae
Source: RNAcentral